AUUGAACGCUGGCGGCAGGCCUAACACAUGCAAGUCGAACGAGUGGCGGACGGGUGAGUAAUGUAUGGGAAACUGCCUGAUGGAGGGGGAUAACUACGGGAACGGGUAGCUAAUACCGCAUCCCAUCGGAUGUGCCCAGAGGGGAUUAGCUAGUGUGUGGGGUAACGGCUCACCAAGGCGACGAUCACUAGCUGGUCUGAGAGGAUGACCAGCCACACUGGAACUGAGACACGGUCCAGACUCCUACGGUAGGCAGCAGUGGGGAAUAUUGCACAAUGGGCGCAAGCCUGAUGCAGCCAUGCCGCGUGUAUGAAGAAGGCCUUCGGGUUGUAAAGUACUUUCAGCGGGGAGGCGUUACCCGCAGAAGAAGCACCGGCUAACUCCGUGCCAGCAGCCGCGGUAAUAC
This 406-nucleotide ribosomal RNA is filed under the name uncultured bacterium. RNAcentral describes it as "partial 16S ribosomal RNA". It matches the Rfam family "Bacterial small subunit ribosomal RNA", at positions 30 to 526 of the family's 1533-position model. The record is from RNAcentral.